RNAcentral lists this long non-coding RNA (290 nucleotides) under Elaeis guineensis (African oil palm). Its description in RNAcentral is "long non-coding RNA (EGUI_LNC036457)". Lineage: Eukaryota; Viridiplantae; Streptophyta; Magnoliopsida; Arecales; Arecaceae. The record is from RNAcentral.
UUCUUCUUCUUGUUCUUCUUUCCUUUCUUAAAAGGUCGAGAACCAGAAGACGAACCUCCCACUAAGUUCACCGACUCCUUGUGAAGUUGGUGAUCCUUCUCAAAGUUCUGAAGCAACCCCAGUAACCCGUGGUAGUUCUCUUCAGGCUUUGUCAUUCUAUAAUGAGUGAGGAAUGGGAGAUAAGACUUGGGCAGCGAGUUUAGUAUUGCAUCUUUCCCAAGUUGCUCAUGCAAGGAAAAGCCGAGCUUGCUCAAUCGUUCCAUCAGCUCGAUCAUGUACAAUACAUGAUC